Molecule: long non-coding RNA, 185 nt
Organism: Panicum virgatum (switchgrass)
Lineage: Eukaryota; Viridiplantae; Streptophyta; Magnoliopsida; Poales; Poaceae
Exons: 2
Source: RefSeq, a predicted model, not a curated record
UACAAGUUGAAGAAGGAAUUUUUCGAUCCUUUUUCCACUACAUUUAGUUAUGAAAACUUCUCCAGUCCAUUCCAUGUCUGAUAAACAGUGGAUUGACCUUGUGGAAUCAUGGAAGACUCCAAAAAAAAUGGAGAUAUGUCAAACGAACAAAGACAACCGAGGCAAUGUUAUGUUACAUCAAACUA